AAAGAAAACUGAUACCAUAUUAUAAAUGAUAGAAAUAAUAUGUAAUUGCUUGAUGAAUCAGAGAGUACAACAACUAUUUAUAGGUAGUUGAUGCUGUACAAUACAUAUGAUGGACUAGCAUCAGCAUAUUAAAGCUACUACUAAGGUAAGCUAAGUUGCUUGUGGUCUAAGCUAUCUAAACCACUCUUAUUAUGUAAUAUAAAUAAAUCCUGAAUUAUUAAAAAAAUAAAAAAUAAGGAGUCCAACAACAACUCUUACAACAUCAAUUUAUUAAAAAAAAAAAUUACAUAAUCGAAUGAUACUUUUUGCCUUUCACAAUAUUUCAUUUAAUCCUUUGGUUCCUCUUCCUCAUAGGAUUUCAGCACCAUAUCCAUAUCACCAUGUUUCUUAAAGAAGCGAGUGAGCAACUCCUUAUAUUCGUAAGACUUAUAAAUAGGUGGAUUGUGUUCAUCAAUGAGAUCUUUUGUUGGUUCAAUGAAACAAUCACCUGAUGGAGCUAUAAAAAAGGCAGCAGUUGUGCGAGCUUGUUCUGAAUUUGUCACAACUCUAUGUUCCACACUUUUUAGCUUACCAUUAGUCAUUAUCUGUAUCCAAUAUUGUAACCCAUCACAAGUCAACAAAAUUUACCAAAUUACAUAAAUUAAUAAGAGACAUGAUUGAAAUGAAAAAAAUACAAAAAAUUUCCUUCAUGUGAGAUAGUGAUAAAUUAGUCCCUAGGGUUAUUAAUUUUUAAAGAAUUAAUGCAUUAAGUGUACCUGCAAGGCGUAGCCUAUGUUGAUAACAAAUGCAUGAGGAAUAGCAUCAACAGCAAUCCACUCUCCAUCCUUAAGUACUUGAAGGCCACAUAUAUCUUCUUGUUGUAAAACGGUUAUGAGGUAAGCAUCAAAGUGUUUGGUUAUACCAAGUGUUAAACUUGGAUCAGGGCAUGGUGGAUAAUGAUUAAGUUGGAUAACUAAUGAGUCACUAAGAUUAUCAUUGUCGAAAUAUCCACACUCCAAACCAAGCCCUUCACUAAUCAAAUUCAUGAUCCUUGAACCCAACUCCUUAAUUUUAGUUGAAUAAUCCCCAACACACUUUCUGCAAGAAAAAAAUGUCUAUUAGAUCUUUAACUGCAUGUGCAAAUUAGGGGUGACAAUGUGAAUAAAUUGAAUACAAUUUAACUUGGAUUGUGUAUUGGAUGGAUUGAACAACCCAUUAAUCUAUUUAUAAUCAACUACCCACUUAGGUUAGUCUGGUGGUAUUGACUUAGGACAUGAGAUUGUGCUCCUCCUCAAGAUCUCCCAAAGUCUUAUGACCAACGGCUCAUAAGGGUUUGCACUUGCCCGCAGCUCCUGACGCCCGCUUGGCGGGCGGAGCGCUCGUUAUCCUUACAGUUCUCUAUGCCGGGGCCCCCUCCCAUUGCUCUAGCCAUAAGUUGUGGCAACUCCAGCUCGAAACCAAAGGGGCCCGCCCUGCAAGGCUAGAGUGAGCUCAGUGGUCAUGUUUAAUUCUCCCCGAUACUAAUUUGAAUGAGUUAAUUUAGCUUUUUCAAAAAAAAAAAAAUUAUAAUCCAUGGAAAACUUCCUAAAACAACUAAAUCAAACCAUCAUCCGGACCAAACAAUCACCUAAUCCAUUUAUUUAUAUUUUGUCCAAUCUAUGCAUAAAAUACUUUAAAAGGAAAAACCUAUUACAAUAUUUUUUUUUUAGUACCACCAGAGCAUCUCCAUUGUGGCUGCAAGUGGUUCUCGGACAUCAAUUUUUGUGGAAAACUGGCGACUUUGUGUUAUUCCUAAAUCAUGACCGUCUUAUUUACCUAAUACGUUGUGAUGCAUUUGAUUUACCAAAAAAACAAAAACUAUGAAUGUUUUAGUUCCUAUUUAUAAGUCUUGUGUGUUUUAAACAGUUAUUAUGUAAUUAAUGUUUGUAUACGAUUGGUUCUUGAAUCGGAUGCCGAGUUUUCGAAAAAAUGUUUAUAUAUGAUUAUUAGAGAGAGAGAGGGAGAGAGGGAGGGAGGGAGAGAGAGAUCAAAUUUAAUUCAUGUUUUGUUAAAAAAAUUAUAUUUUUUUUUUAGAAAAAAUUUCAUUUAAAAAUAUGAAUGUUACACGAGAGUUGACUUCAAGGCAGUGAUCAAAUGUGAUGAUGCAAAUAUUUUAGGAGAAUAAACUCGAAGAAUUUUUUUGGAUAUAUUAAAACACAAAGUUGAUAUAUUUAUAGAGAUAAAAACAUAUUUAACCAUAGUGUUAAUAUUUGGAAAUGAAUAAUAAAUGUAUUUAAAAAUUUGUUGAGGGUUUUUAAUUAUGGACGAGCAAACAUUUUAAAAUUGUCUUAUAAUUAAAGGUCAAAGAGAAUAUGACAAUUCACGAAUUAAUAACCAUUCUAAUGUGAGCAAGCUUAUACUUAUCUUAAUUUGGGCAUAUACUAAUGAAUUUACUCAUCUAACUAAUCAGGGGCGAAUCCACCAUAGAGCUAUGUGUGGCUCUAGCCACACAUGAUUAUACCCUCUUUUUUUUUUUUUUUUUAUUUUUCUUUCAUAUACUAGAUCUCAAACAAUUGAUUAUAACAGUUAUUCUUUCUUUCACAAAAAAAAAAAAAAAAGUUAUAUUAUAUAUAUAUAUAUAUAUAUAUAUUUCUAAAAAAAAAAACAGUUAUAUACUAUAUAUAUGUCUAAAACAUGUGAAGAUUCUUUAUAUGGUCUAUCAGUAUGUAUGGUUGCGUAUAUCAAUACGCAUACAAGACUCUUUUUAGAAAAAAAAUUGUCACUUUUUAUAAGACUGUGUUGAUAUAUAUUUUUAAAUAUAUUAAUUAAUUAUUUACCAACAAACUCCUAUUUAUUUUAUAUUUUUUUCUUCAAUCAGUAUUAAAUACCAUGUUGAAAACAUACACUAACUCUUUCUCUUAAAGAAUAAAAUUGUAAAAACAAUAGCAAUUACAAACAAACUUAUUACCACUUUCAAUUUUCUUAACUCCCGUUAUUUUUUUAAAAGGACCCUAUAAUUAAGGAUAGAGGGAGUAUGAUUUAAUUCAUAGUUUCUUUUAUAAUUCAGUCACACCUAAACAUUAUAUCUAGAUCCAUGCAUGUAACUAAUGUACUUUGUUCAAUCAUUGUUAUAAACAAAACUUUAUUUUGUAUAUUCAUUGAAUAAUAGGUAGUAUUAAUUAGAGAGAUUGCAAGUAGUGAAAUUGUUAUGUCGACUAUUUAAUUAAGUUAAAGACUAGUUAAUAGCUCAAGUAAUAAUCAAUUUGAGAUAGAGAACUAUUACAAAUGAGACCGACCAAGUUUUCAUGCAUUUACCUGUAUGUAGUUGGAUAUUCAGGCCACAAGUGUUGCCACUGUUCCAAAGGAUAAGCUGGGUGUCUAAGAGUGUCCCUCCAAAGAUGAACCUUAUCAAAUUCAUAUUUGAAAGUGCUAGAAAACAUCUUACAUGUCUUCAAAUUGUUCUCAGGAUACAAGUCGUGUUUGUAUUCAUUAGGCUUCUCAAACACCUCCUUAAAAACACUCAUUGCUUCCUUCAUUUCAUCCAACGAGAGACCAUGAUUGAUAACCUAUUUUAAUCAAAAAAAAUGUCGGGAUUUUAUAUUAGACACAUUGUCGGAGCCACGUUGUGGCCAGGGGGUUCAAUUGCACCUUCUCAACUUUUCAUAUUUACACCUAUUUUACUAUAUUUUCAUUGUCUUGAACCCCCUCAAAAUUAAGCCUUGCACCAUAUUGAAUUGACUCUCUCCUCUCUCACUAGGAAAAAGUUGGUAAAGUUGUGUCUGUGCAUACAGUGUGACAAUAAUACAAUGCAGAUUGCCCAAAGUUUAAGUCAAAGUAAAAAAUAUCAUUUUUUUUAACAGCAAAUUUUAUUUAAAAAUCAGAUCCUUGCUCAAGACGAACAGAGACAGGUGAUAUUAUAAAUAUCAUUUUAUAUUAUAAAUUGAUGAUAGAUUGGAAUCAAAACAAAAUAUCUUGAAUGGAAAUUAAAUCUGGAUAUUUAGCAUAGAAAAUGUAUAGAAUAUUUAGCAUUGUGUUUUCAAAUUUUAACUGAUAAAUAUUCUAUGAUGGAAAAAAAUGUAAGAUGUGGAAAUUUUUCUUAAAUAAAUAUAAAUAUAUUUUAAUAUUUAUAAUUUUACGACAUUCAUCUUUAAAUAUAUAAUUUUUCUAUUGUCUCUAAAUAGGCAAACAACUAUGUUGAUCAUCCAUGAAUGUGUGAGACACUCUUAUACUCUUUAAAUGUAUCGAAAAUACAUUUAUAGUGCAUCUUUUUUUGUGUGGUAAUUUUAUAGAUUAAAUUGAACAAUGACAAAACAUAUUCUAAGAUAUAAUUGACUAUCAAAAAACUAAUUUAAUAAAAGAGACGUUUAGAGAUCAAUAUGAUGGCGAAAUACACAUUCAAGGUAAAAAUUUGGUAGGUCGAAAUUUUGAACCCCUUAACUUAGGGUCCUGGCAACACAACUAAAGUUUGCUUAGUAUAUUUUAGAGGAAAAAUAUAUUUAAUCUUAAAAUAGAAAGAGUAUUUAGUAUGAAUACCUGAAAGAAUCCAAACUCCUCAGAAGCCUUGAUAAUUUGUUGUAUUGUUUUGGUUCUAUCCCCAUUUUGUGCUUCACUAAGAUCAAUUGUUGGGAUGGUUUUGUUAAUUGGGAUUUUGAAAUUCCCUGGUCUUGUUUCUUGUGGGAAUACAUAGUCCUCAGGCACAGAUUUGAUGCUUGACCGGUUUGAAAUAAAUUUCUCCNUUUUUUUUUUUUUAAGGAAUCAUGCUUUAUAAUUUUUAUUUUUUUUGAAGAAGUUAAAUUAGCUUAUCCAAAUUGAUACCGGAGAGAACCAUCAGACCAAUUCAAGUGGGUUCAUGUUUUACAAUGUUGUUUCCUUUUUGCAUCAGACAUGCUAAUUGUAAAACAUAAAUAUUUGAAUCAAUCAUUAAGUGUAUUUUAACCACUUGAUUAAGUGGUUAAACUCAUAUCCUCAUGUAAAUCAACGAGAGUGUAACCUUUAUAGCCUGACUUGUAUCCCAAGAAAAAAGUUUUUCUAGCUCUAGAUUGAAGUUUAGUUCUAUGGACAGAAAGAGAAGUAGCAUAACACAGACAACCAAAAACUUUGAAAGUUGAAAUGUCAGGUAAUUUGUAGUAAAGAACUUGAUAAGGACACUUAUGAUUAAGGGUAUGAGUGGUGAUACGGUUAAUGAGGAAAAUUGCAUGAGAAACUGCAUAAGAUCAAAAAGAGGAGGGUAGUUUGGAUUGGAAUAAAAAAGUGCUCUACCAACAUUUAAAAUGUGUUGGUUUUUUUUUUCUACCCUACCUUUUUGUUGAGGAGUAGCAACACAAGAUUUUUGAUGGAUAAUGCCAAGGGAAUCAUAAAAGGUUGGAAGGAUAAACUCAUGGCCAUUGUCUGAUCUGACAUCUUUAGGAGUGAUAUAAAACUGGUUUUGAAUCAUGGCAAUGAAACAUUGGACAUGGUGAGAAACUUCAGCUUUGGGUUCAAGGAGAAUAAUCCAAAGAAACCUAUUAUGAUCAUCAACAAUGGUAAGGAAGUAUUUGUGACCAUGAACAGAAGGUACAGAUAAGGGACCCCAAAUAUCAAAGUGUAGCAAUUCAAAAUUAGAAGAUGCAUUAGAAUUACUAGAUUCAAAAGGAAGAUGCUUUUGUUUAGCAAAAUGAUAGACAUCGCAAAUUGAAUUAUUAUCAGAAACAAUAUUGGAGUACAAAGUUGACAUCUUAUUCACUCUUUGAUGAGAUAAGUGUCCCAAUCUGAAGUGCAAUAAGGCUUUAUUGGGAAUAACAACAAUACUUGAAUUACAAGAAAUUGAAGAAAUUGCAUUACAAAUUUAUUGAUAUGACUAGAAAGAUCACUAGCAGAAACUAAAGAUAGAGAAUGGAGUAUGUAUAAACCAUCCACUUGUUUAGCCAAAUCAAUCUGCUUCAUUGAGAAUUGGUCAUGUAUAAUGCAUUGAGUAUGUGAGAAUUGCACAAAACAAGAUAAAGAAUGACACAAUUUGGCUACAUAGAUAUGAUUCAACUUAAAGGAAGGAGAAUAAAGAGCAUUGGUGAGAUAAAGCUGAGAACUAAAAGAAACAAUGUCAUCAUGAUUAACAAGGAUAGAGGUACCAUUAGGUAAAUUGACAUGAACAUGCUUAAUCUGAUAAAAUGAAGUAAAAGAAGCUAAGUUGCCAUAUAUGUGCUCAUUACCCCCAGAAUGUAAUAACCAAUGUGAGGUAGAAGGAAAAAAACAAGAAUGAGUAUUCAGAUUACCUACAGAAGAAGAAGCAGCAGUGUAAUUGGAGGAAACUUGAGGAGAAACACUAAUAUGGUUGGUAGUAGGGUCAGAUGUAGAAGCAGGAACUGAGGUAAACAAAUUUGUCUGCUGCAACAAGAAGAUAAGCUGAUCCAUCUUUUCUUGAGACAAACCAGUACUACCAGAAGAGUUGCUUGCAUCUGAAGCUUCAUUCGAAGUAGCAUUGGCCUGUGAAAUCUUCUUGUUCACAUUAGGAUAGCCAUGCUUUUGAUAGAAAAAGUCAAUUGUGUGAUUGUGUCUAUUUCAAAAAAUGCAAAACCUUGAUGAAGGUUUAGUGAAUGAACAUUUACCACGCCCUUAAGGUUUCUUUGCAUCAUAUGCAUUAACAAGCACAUUAUCUUCAGCAAGAGAAGGGAGUGAAAGAAGAGAAGUAUUAUUACUUUCUUCUUGUAAAACCAAAGAGAAAUUCUUAUUCAAGGUAGGCAAUGGAUCCAUCAAUAAGACUAGAGUCUUCACAGCAAAAAAUUGCUUAUUGAUGCUAGUUAAAAACUGAAUGAUUUGGUCCUCAUUUCUAUAUGUGUCAGUAACCUUAAGAGCAUCACAUCAACAUUGAUGAUGACAGUACAAUUUGGGAGAGGAGGAUGAGAAUGUAAUUCUUCCCACAAAGCUUUCAUUUCAGUGAAAUAAUCCAACACAAAUUUGGUAUUUUGCCUAAGAUUGUUAAUUUAAUUCCAGAACGCAAAUUGGCAAUUCUAAUACGAUCAAUCUUAGAAAAACGUUCCUUCAAAUCCUCCCAAAAAUCAAAAGCAUUAUCAUGAAACAAUAUAGUUUGAGAAAUUGAAUCAGAAACAGAAUUAAUAAUCCAAGACUAUACCAAAUGAUUGCAUCUUUCCGAAGCAUUACGAUUGAGGUCAUCAUGAUCAGGUACAGGUAGAGUUCCAUUGAUAAAGGGAAGCUUGUUCUUAACACCCAAAGCACGCUGCAUUGAUCUACUCCAUGCAAGAUAAUUGGAUCCAUUGAACUUAGGAGACACAAUCACCGAAUUAGGUCCUUCACUAUGAUGAACAAAGAAAGCAGAAUCAGUAUCAUUGUUGCUGUUGUUGAUUCGAAGCACGAACCAUCAUUCCAAAUCAGAGGAAGAAGAUGAAGAUCUUCGUAAGAAAUAAAUGCAGAGAAGCAAUACGCAAAGCUUGCGAAGGAAGAAAGAGAAGAAUCUCAAUACAAAAUUGAGAACAAAACAAGAAGAAUCAUGAAGAGAAAGAGAAAGAAAACUGAUACCAUAUUAUAAAUGAUAGAAAUAAUAUGUAAUUGCUUGAUGAAUCAGAGAGUACAACAACUAUUUAUAGGUAGUUGAUGCUGUACAAUACAUAUGAUGGACUAGCAUCAGCAUAUUAAAGCUACUACUAAGGUAAGCUAAGUUGCUUGUGGUCUAAGCUAUCUAAACCACUCUUAUUAUGUAAUAUAAAUAAAUCCUGAAUUAUUAAAAAAAUAAAAAAUAAGGAGUCCAA
This 7697-nucleotide long non-coding RNA is filed under the name Medicago truncatula (barrel medic). Its description in RNAcentral is "long non-coding RNA (MTRU_LNC004594)". Lineage: Eukaryota; Viridiplantae; Streptophyta; Magnoliopsida; Fabales; Fabaceae. The record is from RNAcentral.